AGGUGAACCUGCGGAAGGAUCAUUACUGAAAUGACCUAAGAUCUAAGGAACAGUUGGAACCCAGGUUGGAAUGGAAUCGCGAAAUCACCCCUUUUGUGCACGUAUCGAACGUACGCUUUUGGGAGGAUGUGAUCGUCCGUCCGGUCCGACGGUGUCGCUCCGACGAGCGAAGCCCCGGGGGUCGUACGAUCGGGGGCCCCGUUAGGGGCUCGGCCUCCCAGAGCCUUUUUUUUUUUCUUCUUGUCCUACAAGCUCGUCUCAACCUUGUCUGAAGCAGUUUUUGUCCCGGAAACGGGAAAAUAAAACCGAUAGUCAAUAAUAACAACUUUCAACAACGGAUCUCUUGGUUCUCG
RNAcentral lists this unclassified non-coding RNA (353 nucleotides) under uncultured fungus. RNAcentral's name for it is "partial contains 18S rRNA, ITS1 and 5.8S rRNA". Lineage: Eukaryota; Fungi. The record is from RNAcentral.